GGGCGGCGGCGGGUCCCACCUGAAGUCCUUGUCGCUGGAUGUCAUUUUCUCCAGCAGGUUGGAGAUGUGGAGUGUGAGGGAGCUCUAGGUCUUCCCUUUUCAGACCCUGAAGAAGCAUCUGAGAGUCUUCCUGGACUGGGGGAACAAGAUGGUGACAUGUAAGAAGAGCAGGAUCCUCUGCAUAGUGGCUCCUUCUUGCUGCCUCUGUGAAUUUCAUAUUUUAAAACAAAAAGCAUGGCAGUGGCAUUGCUUACAUAAGUGCUUACAUGAGCACAAGUGCAGGCCUAAGUUACCCAUAUUUCUGAUGUAGCAAGCACUCCACACAAUUUGAAUUAAAAGACUGCCAUGCAAGUAAGUGGCAUGCACUA
Molecule: long non-coding RNA, 368 nt
Organism: Pseudopipra pipra
Lineage: Eukaryota; Metazoa; Chordata; Aves; Passeriformes; Pipridae
Exons: 2
Source: RefSeq, a predicted model, not a curated record